RNAcentral lists this ribosomal RNA (301 nucleotides) under uncultured bacterium. RNAcentral describes it as "partial 16S ribosomal RNA". It matches the Rfam family "Bacterial small subunit ribosomal RNA", at positions 509 to 807 of the family's 1533-position model. The record is from RNAcentral.
CAGCCGCCGCGGGAAUACGGAGGGAGCUAGCGUUGUUCGGAAUUACUGGGCGUAAAGCGCACGUAGGCGGUUAUUCAAGUCAGAGGUGAAAGCCCGGGGCUCAACCCCGGAACUGCCUUUGAAACUAGAUGACUGGAAUCUUGGAGAGGUCAGCGGAAUUCCGAGUGUAGAGGUGAAAUUCGUAGAUAUUCGGAAGAACACCAGUGGCGAAGGCGACUGACUGGACAAGUAUUGACGCUGAGGUGCGAAAGCGUGGGGAGCAAACAGGAUUAGAUACCCCGGUAGUCCCUGUCUCUUAUAC